GCGAGCAAGAGAGAGGAAGAAGAGAGAACAAGAAGACGCGGGCGCCUUCUUUGGGUCUUUUCCAGUUUUUUCUUUUCUGUUGCUGUUGGUUUCGCAAACGCGACCAGGAGGGGGACGAGUCUUUCGUGUGUUUGUUGGCGUCACGGGAGCGGAAAGCAACUCUCUUCAAAAAAAAAAGAAAAAAGAAAGAGCUUUUUUCGUGUCGUUCAAAGUCGAAUUUGUUUUUGUUUUUUAAAAAGAAGAAAGGAGA
RNAcentral lists this non-coding RNA (250 nucleotides) under Picochlorum sp. RCC944. The record is from RNAcentral. Lineage: Eukaryota; Viridiplantae; Chlorophyta; Trebouxiophyceae.